Molecule: ribosomal RNA, 468 nt
Filed under: uncultured bacterium
Lineage: Bacteria
Description: partial 16S ribosomal RNA
Rfam family: Bacterial small subunit ribosomal RNA
Source: RNAcentral
GACGAACGCUGGCGGCGUGCUUAACACAUGCAAGUCGAACGGAAAGGCCCUGCUUUUGUGGGGUGCUCGAUUGGCGAACGGGUGAGUAACACGUGAGUAACCUGCCCUUGACUUUGGGAUAACUUCAGGAAACUGGGGCUAAUACCGGAUAGGAGCUCCUGCUGCAUGGUGGGGGUUGGAAAGUUUCGGCGGUUGGGGAUGGACUCGCGGCUUAUCAGCUUGUUGGUGGGGUAGUGGCUUACCAAGCGUUUGACGGGUAGCCGGCCUGAGAGGGUGAACGGCGACAUUGGGACUGAGAUAGGGACCAGACUCGUACGGGAGGCAGCAGUGGGGAGUAUUGCACAAUGGGGGGAAGCCUGAUGCAGCAACGCCGCGUGCGGGAUGCCGGCCUUCGGGGUGUAAACCGCUUUCGCCGGUGACGAAGCGUGAGUGACGGUAAUGGGUAAAGAAGCACCGGCUAACUACGUG